UUCCGGUUGAUCCUGCCGGACCUGACUGCUAUCGGAUUGAUACUAAGCCAUGCGAGUCAUUGUAGUAAUACAAGGCAGACGGCUCAGUAACGCGCAGUCAACCUACCCUAAGGACGGGGAUAACCUCGGGAAACUGAGAAUAAUACCCGAUAGAACAUAGCUCCUGGAAUGGUUUAUGUUUCAAAUAAUUUAUUGCCCUAGGAUGGGACUGCGGCCUAUCAGUUUGUUGGUGAGGUAAUGGCCCACCAAGACUAUUACAGGUACGGGCUCUGAGAGGAGUGGCCCGGAGAUGGGUACUGAGACACGGACCCAGGCCCUAUGGGGCGCAGCAGGCGAGAAAACUUUGCAAUGUGCGAAAGCACGACAAGGUUAAUCCGAGUGGUUUCUGCUAAAGGAACCUUUUGUCAGUCCUAGAAACACUGAUGAAUAAGGGGUGGGCAAGUUCUGGUGUCAGCCGCCGCGGUAAUACCAGCUCUCCGAGUGGUGUGGAUGUUUAUUGGGCCUAAAGCAUCCGUAGCUGGCUGAACAAGUCCCCUGUUAAAUCCAGCGACGAAUCGUUGGCCUGCGGGGGAUACUGCUCGGCUAGGGGGCGGGAGAGGUUGACGGUAGUCCCGGGGUAGGGGUGAAAUCCUAUAAUCCCGGGAGGACCACCAGUGGCGAAGGCGGUCAACUAGAACGCGCCUGACGGUGAGGGACGAAAGCUGGGGGAGCGAACCGGAUUAGACACCCGGGUAGUCCCAGCUGUAAACGAUGCAGGCUAGGUGUUUGGACGGCUACGUGCCGUUCUAGUGCCGCAAGGAAGCUGUUAAGCCUGCCGCCUGGGGAGUACGAUCGCAAGAUUGAAACUUAAAGGAAUUAGCGGGGGAGCACCACAAGGGGUGAAGCUUGCGGUUUAAUUGGAUUCAACGCCGGA
This 913-nucleotide ribosomal RNA is filed under the name uncultured archaeon. Its description in RNAcentral is "partial 16S ribosomal RNA". It matches the Rfam family "Archaeal small subunit ribosomal RNA", at positions 1 to 922 of the family's 1478-position model. The record is from RNAcentral.